This is a long non-coding RNA of Bubalus bubalis (water buffalo), 1002 nucleotides long. RefSeq lists it as uncharacterized. The record is from RefSeq and is a predicted model, not a curated record. NCBI's taxonomy places the organism in Eukaryota, Metazoa, Chordata, Mammalia, Artiodactyla, Bovidae. The transcript is spliced from 2 exons.
UCAGGCCACAGGGACUAUGAAAAACCUGGACUGGAAAAAUAAUAAAGUGUGAGUCAUGGGAGAAGGAGAACUCUUCACAGCUUGAAGAGAUUCAGUUGAAAGAAUAUUAGGACAUCAAGAUUACGAAUGGCCAGAACCAAGUGAGGAUUCACGAUAACCCAGAACGACAAGAGUGGCGCCUGAUCCCAGUGAUAACAGAUUGCUCCCUAACACGGACAGAGUUAAACACAAGACACCCAGCGUUCUGUGUCAUAUCCUCUUGUUGCAUGAUCAUAUUUUGAGAUAGGGGAAGAAUUAAUGUAUAACAAAUUAAAACAGGGCAGUUUCUGACACCCCUGUGACUGAAUAUUUCCACAGAUGUUACAGAGAUGAGGGGAACUUCAUGCACAAAAACACGAAUGGGAAUUUUAUGAGAGACACAGUUUGGAUUAGAGAAGGAAAACCCAGAGAGUGAAUGUGAAAAGUCCAUAUUCAUGUAAAAUUUUCCUAGGGCUGGUGUGAUAAAUUACCAAAAACUGAGUGGCUUAAAAUAUCAGAAGUUUGUUCUUUCAUUGUUCCAGAGGCUAGAUGUCUGGAAUUGAGGAGUCUGCAGGGCCAUACUCUCUCUGAAGGUCAUAGGGGAGGAUCCCUCCUUGCUUCUUCCUAGCUCUGCUUGCUGGCAGUCCUUGGCAUUCUUUGGUGUGUGGAUGCCUCACUCUAAUCUCUGUCUUUGUUGUCACACAUCAGUCUCCCUGAGUGUGUGUGUGUGUUUCUCGUAAAGACACUAUUUACAUUGGAGUAGGGUUCAUCCUUAUCCAAUAUCACUUCAUCUUAACUUGAUUAUGUCUGUAAAGACCCUAUUUCCAAAAAAGUCCACAUCCAGAGGUUCUAGGGAUUAGGGCUUCAGGAUAUCUUUUUUUUUUUUUUGGUGGGGGGCACAGUUCAAUCCACAACAAUCAGUAACCAACAGUGUCUGUGAUGGUGUCACGAAAUGGGUGGAACAGUCCACAGGAAGGGAAUGAU